GACAUGCCCAAUGAGAAUGAGAAUGGAAUGAUAUCAAGUAAUCAAACAAUUCUAAGAUAUGAAGUUGCUUUUGGUUGAGCUAGGGUUUGGUUUUUCUCUUACGGGUCAGACUCUAAGGUUUUAGAUCAUGAGCUUCGGCUUUCUAACUAGGGUUAGGUCUAGGACUCAAGGCUCAGUUAUGGCGCUUGAGCUCUAAGAGCAUUUUCUCAUAAAAAUGCAAUUCUUACGUGGGUUUGAAGGCAUUAUUAAGGAUAAUGUUAAAGUUAACAUCCUAUUUAUAAGCUUGAUAUCAAAUAUUACCUAACAUUUGUUGUUCCUGAUCCCGCAAAUCAUCAUAUAUAUGUCCAUGAGCGCAUAUGUGAUUAAACUUUUUUCGUAUGUCCCGCAUUUAAUAAUAGAAGCUAAAAUAAUAAUGUUUAGAGAGACCUCAUUUUCACAUCACAUAUAUCAUAAUUAAUAUGAACAAGUCAUAUCAAAUAAUGACUUGUCACAUUAUAAAUAUUGAAUAUGGUACAAAAACGUUUUCCCAAGUAAUAAAAUGAGCUGUUGGAAAAAGAAAAAAAAUGAAAGAGUUGUCAAUAUUCUUUCAUUCAAACAACUCUUCUUAAUUAUAUAUAAAACCAGCUAGCAUCGCUUGUUAAAAUAGUAAAUUGUACACGGAUGUCAGUAAGAUUUUAAAGAUACUAGGCUAGUUGGGUUGCAGAUGUAUAAAUAUUGUAUAAUAAUGCCUAUUUAUACUUUGGAAAACACAUAGUUGUAUAGAAAUACAUAAAAUGCAAAACAAAAAUGACAUGUAGAUUAUAAAGUAUUAGGACAUAUAUAUUUAAAACAUGGGAAAUAAGCAUAUAAUGAGUGUUCAUCCAAGUAUUCAACAAGUCUCAUACAUUUUAUUGACAAAUAAAAUGCAAAAUGCAAGUUAUUAAUUUUAUGUCUAAGUGAGAGUCACGAUCUAAGUGGGUACUUUUACGGGUUUAGGUGAGUUAGGCGGACGCCUAAGCGGGUCUAGGCACACUUUCUUAAUUUUCAAAUGCCUAGGAACUAAUCGGGGCGGAGACCAACCACCUAGAAUUUUAGAACAGUGAAUAUCAGUAUACUAAUAAAGAAUUGGUUUUAUUUUCCUUUAUUUUCAAAGAAAAUCGGAUAAUUUACCUCAUUUUUUACGAAUUAAGUUGUACUUUUUACUUGUUCUAUUGUUUAUUAUGUAUCCUGUUUAUAUACAGUUUUCCUUUUCUUUCUUUUAUAAAUUUCACUCUAAUUCUCUAUAUAAUUAUUAUACAGCAUGUGCAUGCCUUGAAAUGUCAUUUUGCUCGUUAAUUAGGUAGGUUUUCUUUGGUUUCCCAUAAAAAAAAAAAGGUAGGUUUUCUUUGAGUUGUGAUCAUGUAUGAAUGGAGCUUCCUCCCUGGUAUGAGCUUGCUAAUUAUUGCUAAUUUAUUAAUCACUACAUUAUUUUUUCUCUGAAAUCUGAAUAUAAGUUAUUUUCUUCCAAGAAAAACUAAUG
RNAcentral lists this long non-coding RNA (1498 nucleotides) under Malus domestica (apple). RNAcentral describes it as "long non-coding RNA (MDOM_LNC012348)". The record is from RNAcentral. Lineage: Eukaryota; Viridiplantae; Streptophyta; Magnoliopsida; Rosales; Rosaceae.